RNAcentral lists this ribosomal RNA (865 nucleotides) under uncultured bacterium. Its description in RNAcentral is "bacterial SSU rRNA". It matches the Rfam family "Bacterial small subunit ribosomal RNA", at positions 56 to 943 of the family's 1533-position model. The record is from RNAcentral.
UGCAAGUCGAACGGUGGUAGCAAUAUCACAGUGGCGCACGGGUGAGGAACACGUAGCUCAUCUGCCCUCAAGCGCGGGAUAACGGUCCGAAAGGAUUGCUAAUACCGCAUAAGCUCACGGAUUGUAGAGGUCUGCGAGAAAAGGCGAAAGUCACUUGAGGAGGAGGCUGCGGCCCAUCAGGUAGUUGGUGUGGUAACGGCGCACCAAGCCAUCGACGGGUAGGGGACCUGAGAGGGUGAUCCCCCACACUGGGACUGAGACACGGCCCAGACUCCUACGGGAGGCAGCAGUGAGGAAUAUUGCCCAAUGGACGAAAGUCUGAGACAGCGACGCCGCGUGGGUGAAGAAGGCCUUCGGGUCGUAAAGCCCUUUUCUGUGUGACGAGCAAGGACGGUAGCACAGGAAAAAGUCUCGGCUAACUACGUGCCAGCAGCCGCGGUAAAACGUAGGAGGCAAGCGUUAUCCGGAGUUACUGGGCGUAAAGCGUGCGUAGGCGGAUGGGUAAGUGGGUCGUGAAAGCGCCGGGCUAAACCGGGCGAGGACGAUACAGACUGCUCGUCUAGAGGUGGAUAGAGGGGUGCGGAAUUCCGGGUGUAGCGGUGAAAUGUGUAGAGAUCCGGAGGAACACCAGUGGUGCAAACGGCGCCCUGGGUCCGAACUGACGCUGAGGCACGAAAGCGUGGGGAGCGAACGGGAUUAGAGACCCCGGUAGUCCACGCCGUAAACGAUGUCAACUAGGUGUCCACUUGGCUACCGGUUCAGGGGGUGCCGAAGCUAACGCAAUAAGUUGACCGCCUGGGGAGUACGGUCGCAAGGCUAAACUCAAAGGAAUUGACGGGGGCCCGCACAAGCAGCGGAGCGUGUG